UUUCUGCUUGCAGAGUGUUUACUAAAGUUGGGAUGAUGCAGAGAAGAUGAGCAUGGGCCCUGCACACUUGUGAAGCAUUUCAUUUUUUA
RNAcentral lists this small nuclear RNA (89 nucleotides) under Catagonus wagneri (Chacoan peccary). Lineage: Eukaryota; Metazoa; Chordata; Mammalia; Artiodactyla; Tayassuidae. The record is from RNAcentral.